GACGAACGCUGGCGGCGUGCUUAACACAUGCAAGUCGAACGGAAAGGCCCUGCUUUUGUGGGGUUCUGGAUGGGCGAAGGGGUGAGUAACAGGUGAGUAACCUGCCCUUGACUUUGGGAGAACUUCAGGAAACGGGGGCUAAUACCGGAUAGGAUCUCCUGCUGCGUGGGGGGGGUGGGAAAGUUGCGGCGGUAGGGGUUGGACUCGCGGCUUAUCAGCUGGUUGGUGGGGUAGUGGCUUACCAAGGCUUUGACGGGUAGCCGGCCUGAGAGGGUGACCGGCCACAUUGCGACUGAGAUACGGACCAGACUCGUAUGGGAGGCAGCAGUGGCGAAUCUUGCACAAUGGGACGACGCCUGAUGAAGAAACCCCGCGUGCGGGAAGACGGCCUUCGGGUUGUGAACCGCUUCAGCCUGUGACGAAGCGUGAGUGACGGUAAUGGGUAAAGAAGCACCGGCUAACUACGUG
Molecule: ribosomal RNA, 468 nt
Filed under: uncultured bacterium
Lineage: Bacteria
Description: partial 16S ribosomal RNA
Rfam family: Bacterial small subunit ribosomal RNA
Source: RNAcentral